AUCUACAGCCACACCACCCUGAAUGUGCCCAGUCUCGUGUGAUCUCGCUAAGCAGGGUCGGGCCUGGGCAGUACCCGGAUGGGAGACUGCUUGGAAGCACCAGGUGCUGUAGCGG
RNAcentral lists this ribosomal RNA (115 nucleotides) under Prolemur simus (greater bamboo lemur). The record is from RNAcentral. Lineage: Eukaryota; Metazoa; Chordata; Mammalia; Primates; Lemuridae.